GUAGGUGGCAAGCGUUGUCCGGAAUUAUUGGGCGUAAAGCGCGCGCAGGCGGUUCUUUAAGUCUGAUGUGAAAGCCCACGGCUCAACCGUGGAGGGUCAUUGGAAACUGGAGAACUUGAGUACAGAAGAGGAAAGCGGAAUUCCACGUGUAGCGGUGAAAUGCGUAGAGAUGUGGAGGAACACCAGUGGCGAAGGCGGCUUUCUGGUCUGUAACUGACGCUGAGGCGCGAAAGCGUGGGGAGCAAACAGGGAUUAGAUACCCUGGUAGUCCACGCCGUAAACGAUGAGUGCAAAGUGUUAGGGGGUUUCCGCCCCCUUAGUGCUGCAGCUAACGCAUUAAGCACUCCGCCUGGGGAGUACGGCCGCAAGGCUG
RNAcentral lists this ribosomal RNA (373 nucleotides) under uncultured organism. RNAcentral's name for it is "partial 16S ribosomal RNA". It matches the Rfam family "Bacterial small subunit ribosomal RNA", at positions 527 to 896 of the family's 1533-position model. The record is from RNAcentral.